This 73-nucleotide transfer RNA is filed under the name Ictidomys tridecemlineatus (thirteen-lined ground squirrel). RNAcentral describes it as "Spermophilus tridecemlineatus (thirteen-lined ground squirrel) tRNA". It matches the Rfam family "tRNA". Rfam says of the family: Transfer RNA (tRNA) molecules are approximately 80 nucleotides in length. Their secondary structure includes four short double-helical elements and three loops (D, anti-codon, and T loops). The record is from Rfam by way of RNAcentral. Lineage: Eukaryota; Metazoa; Chordata; Mammalia; Rodentia; Sciuridae.
GGGGAUAUAGCUCAGUUGGUAGAGUGCUUGCCUUCUAUGCACGAGGCCCUGGGUUCAAUCCCCAGCGCCACCA